UAAUGUAUGGGGAUCUGCCCGAUAGAGGGGGAUAACUACUGGAAACGGUGGCUAAUACCGCAUAAUGUCUACGGACCAAAGCAGGGGCUCUUUGGACCUUGCACUAUCGGAUGAACCCAUAUGGGAUUAGCUAGUAGGUGGGGUAAAGGCUCACCUAGGCGACGAUCUCUAGCUGGUCUGAGAGGAUGAUCAGCCACACUGGGACUGAGACACGGCCCAG
This 220-nucleotide ribosomal RNA is filed under the name uncultured bacterium. RNAcentral's name for it is "partial 16S ribosomal RNA". It matches the Rfam family "Bacterial small subunit ribosomal RNA", at positions 111 to 334 of the family's 1533-position model. The record is from RNAcentral.